UACAGAGGGUGCAAGCGUUGUUCGGAAUUAUUGGGCGUAAAGCGCGUGUAGGCGGCGUGACAAGUCGGGUGUGAAAGCCCUCAGCUCAACUGAGGAAGUGCGCCCGAAACUGUCGUGCUUGAGUGCCGGAGAGGGUGGCGGAAUUCCCCAAGUAGAGGUGAAAUUCGUAGAUAUGGGGAGGAACACCGGUGGCGAAGGCGGCCACCUGGACGGUAACUGACGCUGAGACGCGAAAGCGUGGGGAGCAAACAGGAUUAGAUACCCGGGUAGUCC
Molecule: ribosomal RNA, 273 nt
Filed under: uncultured bacterium
Lineage: Bacteria
Description: partial 16S ribosomal RNA
Rfam family: Bacterial small subunit ribosomal RNA
Source: RNAcentral